GUUGCUAUGGUUUUGCUAUGACAACAGUAAACAAACCACAAAACUUAGAUCCAGCUCUCGGCUCGUUCCGAACUUAUAAAUAAUAACUGCAGGAACAAAAUGACACCAUCCAGGUCCUGCUGCCCAGUUUUGGCUGUUCCUGCAGCUUUUCUUGACAUCUGGGCAGAAGUCUGUCCAUGGAGUCUGACGUCUGUUAUGCUGCAACAGGAGGGACCUAUGAUGACUUCCCAAGAAUUACACAUUACAGACCCAAACAUCUGCCUGGAGCCACUUCUUCAACCGAACCAGGAGCAGUCUGGUGGGGAUUUGUGGAUUUCCCAGCAUGAUGGAGAAGCGAAGGGACAACAAACCUGCAUUCAGGAAGCUCCACGCAGCAGGCUGACCUCGGAGCUGAACCCAGAACAGGUUUUUAAAAAAAAAAAACAUGAGCCAAACGUAACCAAACCAGACCCAGAAAGCAUGAACCACCGCAGGACAACAAAAUUCUCGUCUCUCCUCCUGGGAGCAGGCAGUUCUCCGUCCGUCUGAUGGGGAAACGCAGCAGAUCACAGCUGGCUCUGCGCCCACAGAUAGAGCUGCUCCCCAGCGGCCUCACACUGCUGCCUCAGAUCCCGGUCCAAACCUCCCGCCCGGCCCAAAAGGUCGACCCUCCGCCCCUGGAGCCUGCAACCGUCGCCUCACCUCUGGCACAAACACCACCAGCCUCCCUCUGCCAGCUUGUUACACCCAGACAAACACGAUCCAUUGCUGCGUUUUAUUUGGAGAUGAACGUCUGAACUCCCUGUUUACUAGCUGUUUUAGGGCGUCUUGUCACUUUAAAUCCAAAUGAGCUGCUGCUGGCCACGACCCCCAAGUCAACGCUGACACUUUCACAUGAAAAUGGCAGAAGCACAAUUAUACAACCCAUACAUCUUUGAAAAGCAGAAGUGGAGCCUCCUGCACAACCAACAAGAACGCAGGAAGUGGUUUCUGGAUGCUGCUGCUGUUUUUUCUCACUGCUCUGAGCUUUGCCUCAUUUGACACAGUGAAAACUGUGUUCCCCUCCUCGCCUGUGUUCCCCUCCUCGCCUGUGUUCACCUCCUCAUGAAAUGGAAAUAAAAA
Long non-coding RNA from Poecilia reticulata (guppy), 1101 nucleotides. RefSeq lists it as uncharacterized. NCBI's taxonomy places the organism in Eukaryota, Metazoa, Chordata, Actinopteri, Cyprinodontiformes, Poeciliidae. The record is from RefSeq and is a predicted model, not a curated record.